Molecule: ribosomal RNA, 414 nt
Filed under: uncultured bacterium
Lineage: Bacteria
Description: bacterial SSU rRNA
Rfam family: Bacterial small subunit ribosomal RNA
Source: RNAcentral
AACGAACGCUGGCGGCGCGCCUAAUACAUGCAAGUCGAGCGAGAAGACGUAGCAAUACGUUUGUAAAGCGGCGAACGGGUGAGGAAUACAUGGGUAACCUACCCUCGAGUGGGGAAUAACUAGCCGAAAGGUUAGCUAAUACCGCGUACGCUCCUUGGACUUCGGUUCAGGGAGGAAAGCGAUACCGUGGGUAUCGCGCUCUUGGAUGGGCUCAUGUCCUAUCAGCUUGUUGGUGAGGUAACGGCUCACCAAGGCUUCGACGGGUAGCUGGUCUGAGAGGACGAUCAGCCACACUGGCACUGCGACACGGGCCAGACUCCUACGGGAGGCAGCAGUAAGGAAUAUUGCGCAAUGGGGCGAAAGCCUGACGCAGCGACGCCGCGUGGGGGAUGAAGGUCUUCGGAUUGUAACCCC